Molecule: unclassified non-coding RNA, 223 nt
Filed under: uncultured Basidiomycota
Lineage: Eukaryota; Fungi; Basidiomycota
Description: sequence contains ITS2
Source: RNAcentral
AACUCUCAAUCGAAACACUUUAUUGUUGUUUUCUCGAUUGGAUUUGACUCUUGCCGCGUCUUGCGAUGCGGCUGGGUCUAAACAUAUUAGCUGGCUCUUUCGAGUCUUGGUUCUACUCGGCGUGAUAAUUAUCUAACGUCGAGGACAUUUCCUUAUGGGAAUGGCCAGUACUUUGUGAAGAACUGCUUAUAGUCGUCUUUUACUAGACAAACUAAACUUCUAU